AUAUAUGGUGGAUAAGAGGAUUGGUACAGUGGCUAUAAGCUGUAGCUAUCUAACACUGCUCAAAUACACCCUGUGUUCCAUGUUUCACCGUUCAAGAAGAGAGUUGGACCCUCUGUCACACCCCAGCAACAAGUUCCUUUGGUGGGGGAGUGAUGGUCAAAUGUUAGUUUAACCUAUAGCCAUCUUGCAGAGGCGCACGAUCAAGGAGAAUAAUGGAGUGGCAGUUAAAGUUUUAAUUCAAUGGGAGAACCUAUCACCUGAAGAAGCUACAUGGGAGGACUGGUCUUUUAUUAAGGCCCAAUUUCUAUAAUUUAUACAGCAGUUACAACAACAUUCUUGAGGGCAAGAAUGAUUUUAAGGAGGGUGGAAUGUAAUGACCUAAGUCUAAAGAGUAUUAGUUAUCAUUUAUCCAAACGACAAUGUAUUGAGUAGCUAUUACAGUCCAAUUAACGAUAAUUCAACAAAUAAUUCAAAAGUUGGUUAUAUACGUGGAGGGCUGAGAUUAAAGUGAAGGAAGGGCCGAGAUUAAGGGAAGCAAACCUAUAUAAAGAAGAAAUUGCGGGUGUGGAAGGCAUUGAGAAAUCCGGCAUGAUGUUGGAAGCUAGCUGAAUCUUUUCGUUGGAGCUGUCGAUUAUAAUUUCCUAUUUCUUAUUAUUUCAUUUCUGUUAUUAGUGAACUCUUUCGGUUGUUGAUUGUAAUUGUUGGUUUGAGUACCAAAUGCAGAGUUUCUGAUGUAAUUGUUAACUGUUAGAGGUUAAAUCGAUUAAUUGAGUAGUUGAAUUGUGUUCUUAA
Long non-coding RNA from Lycium ferocissimum, 792 nucleotides. RefSeq lists it as uncharacterized. The record is from RefSeq and is a predicted model, not a curated record. The transcript is spliced from 2 exons. NCBI's taxonomy places the organism in Eukaryota, Viridiplantae, Streptophyta, Magnoliopsida, Solanales, Solanaceae.